This 124-nucleotide small RNA is filed under the name Marmota monax (woodchuck). Lineage: Eukaryota; Metazoa; Chordata; Mammalia; Rodentia; Sciuridae. The record is from RNAcentral.
GCUGGGUGUGGUUGUGUACUCCUGUAAUCCCAGAGGCUCAGGAGGCUGAGACAGGAGGAUCGCAAAUUCAAAGCCAGCCUCAGCAAGGCGAGGCGCUAAGCAGCCCAGUGAGACCCUGUCUCUA